UCACGUCUUACGACGGCAGUUUCACUAGAGUUCCCAGCGUUACCUGAUGGCAACUAGUGAUGGGGGUUGCGCUCGUUGCGGGACUUAACCCAACACCUCACGGCACGAGCUGACGACAGCCAUGCAGCACCUCUGCCAGCUCCCUUGCGGGUCGUUCCCCUUUCAGGGUCCUACCACUGACAGUUCAAGCCCAGGUAAGGUUCUUCGCGUUGCAUCGAAUUAAACCACAUGCUCCACCGCUUGUGCGGGCCCCCGUCAAUUCCUUUGAGUUUCACCCUUGCGAGCGUACUCCCCAGGUGGAAUACUUAUCAGGUUUCCUUCGGCACUGACCAAAAAAGGCCAACACCAAGUAUUCAUCGUUUAGGGCGUGGACUAC
RNAcentral lists this unclassified non-coding RNA (376 nucleotides) under uncultured Ignavibacteria bacterium. RNAcentral's name for it is "contains 16S-23S intergenic spacer region". The record is from RNAcentral. Lineage: Bacteria; Pseudomonadati; Ignavibacteriota; Ignavibacteria.